Molecule: non-coding RNA, 29 nt
Filed under: Rattus norvegicus (Norway rat)
Lineage: Eukaryota; Metazoa; Chordata; Mammalia; Rodentia; Muridae
Source: RNAcentral
UCUAAAAGUGUUACUAAUAGAUACCGUGA